CCAAAGGCUCUUUUCAGAGCCACCCACCUUCUCAAAAGAGAGUUGU
Regulatory RNA element from Neotoma lepida (desert woodrat), 46 nucleotides. It matches the Rfam family "Histone 3' UTR stem-loop". From Rfam's summary of the family: The mRNAs of metazoan histone genes lack a poly-A tail. 3' end processing occurs at a site between a highly conserved stem-loop (modelled by this family) and a purine rich region around 20 nts downstream (the histone downstream element, or HDE). Lineage: Eukaryota; Metazoa; Chordata; Mammalia; Rodentia; Cricetidae. The record is from Rfam.